Molecule: ribosomal RNA, 1126 nt
Filed under: Huonia epinephela
Lineage: Eukaryota; Metazoa; Arthropoda; Insecta; Odonata; Libellulidae
Description: partial 16S ribosomal RNA
Source: RNAcentral
CUUCUUGUYAGUACUUAUUAAGGAAUUAAUUUAUUUGNURUAGUGAACUAGYRCUGUAAAGGAAAAUAGAUGAAAUAUUAUUGAAAAAUUAUUUUUUGUUAAGUAUAUUUUAUUUAUAGACCUUUUGUAUCAGGGUUUAUCUAAAAUUGUAAUUUAUAUUUAUUUCCCGAUUUUAAAAGAGCUAAAUUCUUAUUUUAUUUAAUGUGGUAUAAUUAUUAAUAAUAAUAAUUUAGAUGAGAAAUUUUAAUCGUUUUUAAAGGUAUCUGGUUUUUUAAGAAUUAAAUUUAAUUUAAUUUCAUUAUUUAUAAUUAUAAUUUGUUAUUUAUUAUUUAUUGAAUUAAAUAUUGUAGGGGAUAAGCUCUACAUUUAUUUAUAAUUUCUUAAUUAAUUAAUUUUUGUAGGUUUAAGAAUAUCCAUCAUUAAUGAUUUUGUUAUAAUUUAUAUUUCCUGAUUAAUUAAUUUUGUUGAGUUUAGUAUAAUAUUAAGAUUUUAUGAUUAACAUUAUAUCAUAAGGAAUAAUGAUUAAAUUAGUAUAAUAUAUUGUUUAUUAAUUUUUUAAUUUAAUAAUAAAAUAAGGAAUUCGGCAAUAAUAAUUUCCGCCUGUUUAACAAAAACAUGUCCUUUAGAAUUUAAUUGAAGGUCUGACCUGCCCAGUGAGUAUUUUAACGGCCGCGGUAUAUUGACCGUGCAAAGGUAGCAUAAUCAUUAGUCUUUUAAUAGGAGGCUUGUAUGAAAGGUUUGACGAGAAAUUGACUGUCUCAUUUUAUUUGUUUUAAAAUUUAAUUUUUUAGUUAAAAAGCUAAAAUGAUGUUGGAAGACGAGAAGACCCUAUAGAUCUUUAUAUAUUUUUUUAUAAAUAAAUUUAGAUGAAUAAUUUUAUAAAAUUUUAUAUUUUGUUGGGGUGACAAAAAUAUAUGAAAAACUUUUUUAUUUAUUAUACAUUGAUAUAUGAUUAUUAGAUCCUUUAUUAUUGAUUAUUAGAAUAAGUUACCUUAGGGAUAACAGCGUAAUCCUCCCUCAGAGUUCAUAUUUACGGGAUGGGCUUGCGACCUCGAUGUUGGAUUAAGAUAAUAAUUAGGUGUAGCUGCUUAAUUGAUAGGUCUGUUCGACCUUUAAAUUCUUACAU